AACGUAGGAGGCAAGCGUUAUCCGAAUUUACUGGGCGUAAAGCGUGUGCAGGCGGUUCGGUAAGUUGGAUGUGAAAUCUCCCGGCUCAACUGGGAGAGGUCGUUCAAAACUGCCGGACUGGAGGAUGGUAGAGGGAGGUGGAAUUCCGGGUGUAGUGGUGAAAUGCGUAGAUAUCCGGAGGAACACCUGUGGCGAAAGCGGCCUCCUGGACCAUGCCUGACGCUGAAACACGAAAGCUAGGGGAGCGAAC
Molecule: ribosomal RNA, 250 nt
Filed under: uncultured bacterium
Lineage: Bacteria
Description: partial 16S ribosomal RNA
Rfam family: Bacterial small subunit ribosomal RNA
Source: RNAcentral